Molecule: long non-coding RNA, 246 nt
Filed under: Elaeis guineensis (African oil palm)
Lineage: Eukaryota; Viridiplantae; Streptophyta; Magnoliopsida; Arecales; Arecaceae
Description: long non-coding RNA (EGUI_LNC003849)
Source: RNAcentral
CAUGCACUUUGAUUAACGAUCAACUCUUGAUCCUGAUCAUCUGGAUCAACUGUUGAUCCUGGAUAAUUGGAUCAACACUUGAUCCUAGAUCUGAUUUUUCUCUUCCCUUGCUUAGAUCUGGAUCUCCUCUUCCAUGGUAUAGAUCUACAUUAAGAUGUAGAUUAGCCCUCAACCCUUGAGAUAUGGAAGAGAGGACACCCAAGAACCUGGAAAGCCCAACUCGUUGGAUGUGAGAACCAGAUCUGC